GAAAAGCCAACCUUCCCAGAGGACUGAAGACUUCAGGGACUUCUGGCAGUCCCCAGCUGGAGUCUGGGAGCCCCUAGACAUGGCCAGACCUCACCUGCAGCAGCCUGCUCCCCAGGCAGGGAAGACAGCCUGGGUUGAGGUCCACUGGCCCCUGGAGCUGCUGCUAUCUCUGGCUGGAGAACUGACCAGCUGCCAGCCUGCAAGCCACCCAUCUGGUGUCACGAGAGUCCUCUGCUGACGU
This 241-nucleotide long non-coding RNA is filed under the name Calidris pygmaea (Spoon-billed sandpiper). Its description in RNAcentral is "lncRNA (ENSCPGG00000018103.1)". Lineage: Eukaryota; Metazoa; Chordata; Aves; Charadriiformes; Scolopacidae. The record is from RNAcentral.